AGAGUUUGAUCAUGGCUCAGGACGAACGCUGGCGGCGUGCUUAACACAUGCAAGUCGAACGGAAAGGCCCUUCGGGGUACUCGAGUGGCGAACGGGUGAGUAACACGUGGGUGAUCUGCCUUGCACUUUGGGAUAAGCCUGGGAAACUGGGUCUAAUACCGAAUAGGACCACGCGCUUCAUGGUGUGUGGUGGAAAGCUUUUGCGGUGUGGGAUGGGCCCGCGGCCUAUCAGCUUGUUGGUGGGGUAAUGGCCUACCAAGGCGACGACGGGUAGCCGGCCUGAGAGGGUGACCGGCCACACUGGGACUGAGAUACGGCCCAGACUCCUACGGGAGGCAGCAGUGGGGAAUAUUGCACAAUGGGCGCAAGCCUGAUGCAGCGACGCCGCGUGAGGGAUGACGGCCUUCGGGUUGUAAACCUCUUUCAAUAGGGACGAAGCGCAAGUGACGGUACCUAUAGAAGAAGCACCGGCCAACUACGUGCCAGCAGCCGCGGUAAUACGUAGGGUGCGAGCGUUGUCCGGAAUUACUGGGCGUAAAGAGCUCGUAGGUGGUUUGUCGCGUUGUUCGUGAAAACUCACAGCUUAACUGUGGGCGUGCGGGCGAUACGGGCAGACUAGAGUACUGCAGGGGAGACUGGAAUUCCUGGUGUAGCGGUGGAAUGCGCAGAUAUCAGGAGGAACACCGGUGGCGAAGGCGGGUCUCUGGGCAGUAACUGACGCUGAGGAGCGAAAGCGUGGGGAGCGAACAGGAUUAGAUACCCCGGUAGUCCAA
RNAcentral lists this ribosomal RNA (773 nucleotides) under uncultured bacterium. RNAcentral describes it as "bacterial SSU rRNA". It matches the Rfam family "Bacterial small subunit ribosomal RNA", at positions 8 to 798 of the family's 1533-position model. The record is from RNAcentral.